GGAUGAUUGGCAGAGAGGCCGAAUGCAGCACCUUGCUAAGGUGCCGAAGCGACAGCUUCCGCAGGUUCGAAUCCUGCAUCAUCCG
RNAcentral lists this transfer RNA (85 nucleotides) under Caudoviricetes sp. Its description in RNAcentral is "tRNA-Ser". It matches the Rfam family "tRNA". Rfam says of the family: Transfer RNA (tRNA) molecules are approximately 80 nucleotides in length. Their secondary structure includes four short double-helical elements and three loops (D, anti-codon, and T loops). The record is from RNAcentral. Lineage: Duplodnaviria; Heunggongvirae; Uroviricota; Caudoviricetes.